Molecule: long non-coding RNA, 900 nt
Organism: Sitophilus oryzae (rice weevil)
Lineage: Eukaryota; Metazoa; Arthropoda; Insecta; Coleoptera; Curculionidae
Exons: 3
Source: RefSeq, a predicted model, not a curated record
UGAAACUGGCGAUAAAAAUGCUUUAAAUAUCCAUAUAAUUGUUUCAACUUUCCAAUAGGAAACCUAUUACAAAAUUGCUUCAAAAACAACUUAAAAAUGGUACUGUCUUUAAAAAUCCUUCUUCCUGUAUCUGUAGCCGUAUUUGUUCUGUUAAUAAUACAGGGUAGAUCAAGUAUUGUAUGUCCGCCGGAUUACUGCAAGAAUGUAACGUGUAGAGUCAAUGAAACUUCAUGUAAAGAAGGAUACCAUUUGCUACCGACUUUUUGUGGUUGUUGCUAUCACUGUGUGGAAGACAUACCUGAAAACCGAUCAUGCUUUGACUGGGGAUUUCUAACGUUUCCAACGAAUACACAAUGUGCUAAAGGUUUAGUGUGUUGCAACGCCACAAUUUGUUUAAAACCACAAAAUUGUAAAAAAUGAAUUAAAAAUAUAUAUAUUAUAUAAUAUACAUGAUAGAAUAAAAUACAAAAGACAUAUUACCUAUAUGAAUUGAAAAUGAAUAAUUAUGCAUCCCCUCGAUUUGACUGAAAUCAGAUAAUUGUUGAAAAUUUUACAAAAAUUACACUGGUCGACAAGGUUUUUUCUAACAUGAACCAGAACAGCGUUUUUAUGUAUAUUUUUGUUGUCUAAUUACAUAAAUAUUUGCUAAAUGGACCCACCACAUUUUUAUUUAGCUACUUGUAUACGGGCAGUACGACCCUUAUCGGUAUUCUUAAAAAGACCUUUUUUUAAAGAAGAUUUUCUCAAACUAACCAUCCCAGAGCAAUAAAUUUAAUAAGUUGAAUAAACGAGACCGUACAUAACUACAAAAUCGUUAGUUUAUAUUAGUCUGUCAUUUGUACAGAACGACAAGACAAGACAAGACAAGACAAGACAAGAGACAAGAGACAAGAGACAAGA